RNAcentral lists this long non-coding RNA (237 nucleotides) under Physcomitrium patens. Its description in RNAcentral is "long non-coding RNA (PPAT_LNC004367)". Lineage: Eukaryota; Viridiplantae; Streptophyta; Bryopsida; Funariales; Funariaceae. The record is from RNAcentral.
AAUGAGUCUAUGUUUGUGUGAAACACUGUAAUGUGAAUGGCAAUUCUGUGUCAAGAAUUCCAGUGAUUGGAAUGAGAGUAAUUGUGUGCUGAAAGCUGUGAGUGCACAAUAUUACAAUUGGAGAUUAUGAGGGUGAAUAUAUUGGUGGAAAUAGAAGUUAUUGGUAUGACUGAAUUGUUAUAAGGAAGAAAUCGAUAAGGUGAAGGAGGAGAUUAUAGUUUCCUUGCGGGUUUAGAU